AGUGAACGCUGGCGGUAGGCCUAACACAUGCAAGUCGAACGGCAGCACAGUAAGAGCUUGCUCUUACGGGUGGCGAGUGGCGGACGGGUGAGGAAUACAUCGGAAUCUACUUUUUCGUGGGGGAUAACGUAGGGAAACUUACGCUAAUACCGCAUACGACCUACGGGUCAAAGCAGGGGAUCUUCGGACCUUGCGCGAUUGAAUGAGCCGAUGUCGGAUUAGCUAGUUGGCGGGGUAAAGGCCCACCAAGGCGACGAUCCGUAGCUGGUCUGAGAGGAUGAUCAGCCACACUGGAACUGAGACACGGUCCAGACUCCUACGGGAGGCAGCAGUGGGGAAUAUUGGACAAUGGGCGCAAGCCUGAUCCAGCCAUACCGUGUGGGUGAAGAAGGCCUUCGGGUUGUAAAGCCCUUUUGUUGGGAAAGAAAAGCAGCAGGUUAAUACCCCGCUGUUCUGACGGUACCCAAAGAAUAAGCACCGGCUAACUUCGUG
RNAcentral lists this ribosomal RNA (492 nucleotides) under uncultured bacterium. Its description in RNAcentral is "partial 16S ribosomal RNA". It matches the Rfam family "Bacterial small subunit ribosomal RNA", at positions 29 to 507 of the family's 1533-position model. The record is from RNAcentral.